RNAcentral lists this ribosomal RNA (1462 nucleotides) under metagenome. RNAcentral describes it as "bacterial SSU rRNA". It matches the Rfam family "Bacterial small subunit ribosomal RNA". The record is from RNAcentral.
AGAGUUUGAUCCUGGCUCAGGAUGAACGCUGGCGGUCUGCUUAACACAUGCAAGUCGAACGGGUAGGGGCGUGGUUUCCACGCCUCCACUAGUGGCGGACGGGUGAGUAACGCGUGAGAAUCUGCCUUCAGGACGGGGACAACAGUUGGAAACGACUGCUAAGACCCGAUGUGCCGCAAGGUGAAAUAUUAAUAGCCUGGAGAUGAGCUCGCGUCUGAUUAGCUAGUUGGAGUGGUAAAGGCACACCAAGGCGACGAUCAGUAGCUGGUCUGAGAGGAUGAGCAGCCACACUGGGACUGAGACACGGCCCAGACUCCUACGGGAGGCAGCAGUGGGGAAUUUUCCGCAAUGGGCGAAAGCCUGACGGAGCAAGACCGCGUGAGGGAGGAAGGCCCUUGGGUUGUAAACCUCUUUUAUUAAGGAAGAAGAACUGACGGUACUUAAUGAAUCAGCAUCGGCUAACUCCGUGCCAGCAGCCGCGGUAAUACGGAGGAUGCAAGCGUUAUCCGGAAUCAUUGGGCGUAAAGAGUCCGUAGGUGGUCAAUCAAGUCGGCUGUUAAAGCAUGGGGCUUAACCCCAUCAAGGCAGUGGAAACUGGUUGACUAGAGUCUAGGAGGGGUAGAGGGAAUUCCCAGUGUAGCGGUGAAAUGCGUAGAGAUUGGGAAGAACACCGGUGGCGAAAGCGCUCUACUGGACUAGAACUGACACUGAGGGACGAAAGCUAGGGGAGCGAAAGGGAUUAGAUACCCCUGUAGUCCUAGCCGUAAACGAUGGAUACUAGGCGUAGCUCGUAUCGACCCGAGCUGUGCCGAAGCUAACGCGUUAAGUAUCCCGCCUGGGGAGUACGCACGCAAGUGUGAAACUCAAAGGAAUUGACGGGGGCCCGCACAAGCGGUGGAGUAUGUGGUUUAAUUCGAUGCAACGCGAAGAACCUUACCAAGGCUUGACAUCCGACGAAUCUAGUUGAGAAAGUAGAGUGCUUUCGGGAGCGUCGUGACAGGUGGUGCAUGGCUGUCGUCAGCUCGUGUCGUGAGAUGUUGGGUUAAGUCCCGCAACGAGCGCAACCCUCGUCCUUAGUUGCCAAUAUUAAGUUAGGAACUCUAGGGAGACUGCCGGGGACAACUCGGAGGAAGGUGGGGAUGACGUCAAGUCAGCAUGCCCCUUACGUCUUGGGCUACACACGUACUACAAUGGUCGGGACAACGAGCAGCGAAGCCGCAAGGUGUAGCGAAUCUCAACAAACCCGGCCUCAGUUCAGAUUGAGGGCUGCAACUCGCCCUCAUGAAGGCGGAAUCGCUAGUAAUCGCAGGUCAGCAUACUGCGGUGAAUCCGUUCCCGGGCCUUGUACACACCGCCCGUCACACCAUGGGAGCUGGCCACGCCCGAAGUCGUUACUCCAACCUGCAAAGGAGGAGGACGCCGAAGGCAGGGCUAGUGACUGGGGUGAAGUCGUAACAAGGUA